This 156-nucleotide ribosomal RNA is filed under the name Triticum aestivum (bread wheat). Its description in RNAcentral is "rRNA 5_8S_rRNA". It matches the Rfam family "5.8S ribosomal RNA". From Rfam's summary of the family: 5.8S ribosomal RNA (5.8S rRNA) is a component of the large subunit of the eukaryotic ribosome. It is transcribed by RNA polymerase I as part of the 45S precursor that also contains 18S and 28S rRNA. Lineage: Eukaryota; Viridiplantae; Streptophyta; Magnoliopsida; Poales; Poaceae. The record is from Rfam by way of RNAcentral.
GACUCUCGGCAACGGAUAUCUCGGCUCUCGCAUCGAUGAAGAACGUAGCGAAAUGCGAUACCUGGUGUGAAUUGCAGAAUCCCGCGAACCAUCGAGUCUUUGAACGCAAGUUGCGCCCGAGGCCACUCGGCCGAGGGCGCGCCUGCCUGGGCGUCA